This 85-nucleotide transfer RNA is filed under the name Polaromonas vacuolata. RNAcentral describes it as "tRNA-Leu". The record is from RNAcentral. Lineage: Bacteria; Pseudomonadati; Pseudomonadota; Betaproteobacteria; Burkholderiales; Comamonadaceae.
GCCCGGGUGGCGGAAUUGGUAGACGCGCACGGUUCAGGUCCGUGUAUCGCAAGGUGUGGAGAUUCGAGUUCUCUCCCGGGCACCA